RNAcentral lists this ribosomal RNA (452 nucleotides) under uncultured bacterium. Its description in RNAcentral is "bacterial SSU rRNA". It matches the Rfam family "Bacterial small subunit ribosomal RNA", at positions 946 to 1399 of the family's 1533-position model. The record is from RNAcentral.
UUAAUUCGAAGCAACGCGAAGAACCUUACCAAAUCUUGACAUCCUCUGACAGCCCUAGAGAUAGGGUUUCCCUUCGGGGCAGAGUGACAGGUGGUGCAUGGUUGUCGUCAGCUCGUGUCGUGAGAUGUUGGGUUAAGUCCCGCAACGAGCGCAACCCUUAAGUUUAGUUGCCAUCAUUAAGUUGGGCACUCUAGACUGACUGCCGGUGACAAACCGGAGGAAGGUGGGGACGACGUCAAAUCAUCAUGCCCCUUAUGAUUUGGGCUACACACGUGCUACAAUGGACAGGCUACAAAGGGCAGCGACGCCGCGAGGCCAAGCGAAUCCCAUAAAACUGUUCUCAGUUCGGAUUGGAGUCUGCAACUCGACUCCAUGAAGCUGGAAUCGCUAGUAAUCGUAGAUCAGCAUGCUACGGUGAAUACGUUCCCGGGUCUUGUACACACCGCCCGUCA